This 301-nucleotide ribosomal RNA is filed under the name uncultured bacterium. RNAcentral's name for it is "partial 16S ribosomal RNA". It matches the Rfam family "Bacterial small subunit ribosomal RNA", at positions 509 to 808 of the family's 1533-position model. The record is from RNAcentral.
CAGCAGCCGCGGUAAUACGGAGGGUGCAAGCGUUAAUCGGAAUUACUGGGCGUAAAGCGCACGCAGGCGGUCUGACAAGUCAGAUGUGAAAUCCCCGGGCUUAACCUGGGAACUGCAUUUGAAACUGUCAGGCUGGAGUCUUGUAGAGGGGGGUAGAAUUCCAGGUGUAGCGGUGAAAUGCGUAGAGAUCUGGAGGAAUACCGGUGGCGAAGGCGGCCCCCUGGACAAAGACUGACGCUCAGGUGCGAAAGCGUGGGGAGCAAACAGGAUUAGAUACCCCCGUAGUCCCGUCUCUUAUACA